Long non-coding RNA from Trachemys scripta elegans, 429 nucleotides. RefSeq lists it as uncharacterized. The record is from RefSeq and is a predicted model, not a curated record. NCBI's taxonomy places the organism in Eukaryota, Metazoa, Chordata, Testudines, Emydidae. The transcript has 3 exons.
GCUUGUGCUGCCUUUGCCACUUUUAGGAGACAGCGAACGGGAAGCCCCAUUUUCCUUUGUGCUUCAGCUUGUCUUGUCUGCACCAGACUUCAGGAAAGACAACUGAGAUCCCAGCCCAAUCUCCAGCCAUGAGGAUCCUUUACCUUCUGCUUCUUGUUCUCUUCCUGGGCCUCCAGGCAGCCCAAGGAAGCUUUUCAUUUAAAGACACUCGGAAAUGUAAAAGCAACUGGUAUCAUACGGGUGGCCGGUGCCGACUGUGGGGCUGCAAAAUUGGUGAGAAAAGGACUGGAACAUGCUUGGCUGGGUUAAUGGCCUGCUGCCACCCAAUGCACUAAAGAACUCGCUGUGCUGAGUUGAAUGUCCCCAGAAUGGAGACUAGUAACAUCAACAGCAACAUAGAUUGUACGCUCCAGGUGGCAGGGACCUCUG